GAACGCUGGCGGCGUGCUUAACACAUGCCUUUCGGACGAGACGAUUGAAAGCUUGCUUUUGAGAGUCGAGUGGCAAACGGGUGAGUAACGCGUAGACAACCUGCCGUAAAGAUGGGGACAACAGUUCGAAAGGACUGCUAAUACCGAAUGUUGUAGAGUUUCCGCAUGGGAAUCCUACUAAAGAUGGCCUCUACUUGUAAGCUAUCGCUUUACGAUGGGUCUGCGUCUGAUUAGCUAGUUGGUGGGGUAACGGCUUACCAAGGCGACGAUCAGUAGCCGGUCUGAGAGGAUGAACGGCCACAUUGGAACUGAGACACGGUCCAGACUCCUACGGGAGGCAGCAGUGGGGAAUCUUCCGCAAUGGGCGCAAGCCUGACGGAGCAACGCCGCGUGAGUGAAGAAGGGUUUCGACUCGUAAAGCUCUGUUGUCGGGGACCAAUGUGGAGAUGGUGAAUAACCAUUUUCAAUGACGGUACCUGACGAGGAAGCCACGGCUAACUACGUGCCAGCAGCCCGCGGAAAUACUUAGGUGGCGAAGCGUUAUCCCGGAAUCAUUGGGCGUAACGGGUGCGUAGGCGGCUGAAUAAAUUCGGGGUUAAAGCGUGGGGCUCAACCCCCUUAAAGCCACGGAUACUGGUCAGCUAGAGUACUGAGGAGGGCAGUGGAAUUCCAUGUGUAGCGGUAAAAUGCGUAGAUAUAUGGAGGAACACCGGUGGCGAAGGCGGCUGCCUGGACAGAGACUGACGCUGAGGCACGAAAGCGUGGGGAGCAAAUAGGAUUAGAUACCCUAGUAGUCCACGCUGUAAACGAUGAAUGCUUGGUAUCGGGGCAACCCGGUGCCGAAACUAACGCGCUAAGCAUUCCGCCUGUGGAGUAUGCACGCAAGUGUGAAACAUAAAGGAAUUGACGGGGGCCCGCACAAGCGGUGGAGUAUGUGGUUUAAUUCGACGCAACGCGAAGAACCUUACCAGGCCUUGACAUCCCUUGCAAAGCUGUAGAGAUACAGUAGAGGUUAUCAAGGUGACAGGUGGUGCAUGGUUGUCGUCAGCUCGUGUCGUGAGAUGUUGGGUUAAGUCCCGCAACGAGCGCAACCCUUGUCUUCAGUUACCAAUAUCAAGUUAGGGACUCUGGAGAGACUGCCGGUGAUAAACCGGAGGAAGGUGGGGAUGACGUCAAAUCAUCAUGCCCCUUAUGACCUGGGCCACACACGUGCUACAAUGGACGGAGCAGAGGGAAGCGAGACCGCGAGGUUGAGCAGAGCCCAGAAACCCGUUCUCAGUUCGGACUGCAGUCUGCAACUCGACUGCACGAAGCUGGAAUAGCUAGUAAUCGCGGAUCAGCAUGCCGCGGUGAAUACG
Molecule: ribosomal RNA, 1358 nt
Filed under: uncultured bacterium
Lineage: Bacteria
Description: partial 16S ribosomal RNA
Rfam family: Bacterial small subunit ribosomal RNA
Source: RNAcentral